AUACGUAGGUGGCAAGCGUUAUCCGGAAUUACUGGGCGUAAAGCGUACGUAGGCGGUUCGGAAAGUCUGUCGUGAAAUCUCUCGGCUCAACCCUGAAAUGUCGGGGGAUACUGGCAAACUCGAGACUGUCAGAGGCAAGUGGAAUUCCCGGUGUAGUGGUGAAAUGCGUAGAUAUCGGGAGGAACACCAGUGGCGAAAGCGGCUUGCUGGGACAGUUCUGACGCUGAGGGACGAAAGCGUGGGUAGCAAACCGGAUUAGAAACCCCGGUAGUCC
This 274-nucleotide ribosomal RNA is filed under the name uncultured bacterium. RNAcentral's name for it is "partial 16S ribosomal RNA". It matches the Rfam family "Bacterial small subunit ribosomal RNA", at positions 523 to 796 of the family's 1533-position model. The record is from RNAcentral.